AACGCUAGCUACAGGCUUAACACAUGCAAGUCGAGGGGCAGCAUGGUCUUAGCUUGCUAAGGCCGCUGGCGACCGGCGCACGGGUGAGUAACACGUAUCCAACCUACCGAUAACUCGGGGAUAACCCUUCGAAAGAAGGCCUAAUACCCGAUAGCACCUUUUGCGGGCAUCCAAGAAAGGUUAAAGAAUUUUGGUUAUCGAUGGGGAUGCGUUCCAUUAGCUUGUUGGCGGGGUAACGGCCCACCAAGGCAUCGAUGGAUAGGGGUUCUGAGAGGAAGGUCCCCCACAUUGGAACUGAGACACGGUCCAAACUCCUACGGGAGGCAGCAGUGAGGAAUAUUGGUCAAUGGACGUAAGUCUGAACCAGCCAAGUAGCGUGAAGGAUGAAGGCUCUAUGGGUCGUAAACUUCUUUUAUAAGGGAAUAAAGUGAGCCACGUGUGGCUUUUUGUAUGUACCUUAUGAAUAAGGAUCGGCUAACUCCGUGCCAGCAGCCGCGGUAAUACGGAGGAUCCGAGCGUUAUCCGGAUUUAUUGGGUUUAAAGGGAGCGUAGGCGGAAUAUUAAGUCAGUUGUGAAAGUUUGCGGCUCAACCGUAAAAUUGCAGUUGAUACUGGUAUUCUUGAGUGCAGUAGAGGUAGGCGGAAUUCGUGGUGUAGCGGUGAAAUGCUUAGAUAUCACGAAGAACUCCGAUUG
This 693-nucleotide ribosomal RNA is filed under the name uncultured bacterium. RNAcentral describes it as "bacterial SSU rRNA". It matches the Rfam family "Bacterial small subunit ribosomal RNA", at positions 32 to 715 of the family's 1533-position model. The record is from RNAcentral.